Molecule: long non-coding RNA, 541 nt
Organism: Talpa occidentalis (Iberian mole)
Lineage: Eukaryota; Metazoa; Chordata; Mammalia; Eulipotyphla; Talpidae
Exons: 3
Source: RefSeq, a predicted model, not a curated record
UGCUGUCUCCAGCCUCUCCAGACCUGGCUGGCAGGGGUCAAGAUGAAUGCCUGCAUUCUUCACAGCAGGUGGUGAGCUCACCAGCAGUUUAAUAGAUACAGUGUUUCCAGAACUCAAAGGCUCCCUCAAGUCUUAAAGGAGAUUUAUGGAAGCAUCAUUGCCCACAGCCCCUUCCUGAGACCUCAACAGGGAAGUGGUAAGGGAGGGUUAGAUGGGCUACAGAAAACGACAAGAAGAAAACACAGUGAAGAAAGGGGAGUUGGGGAUUGGGAGGGGAGCCUUGCUUCUUCUCCGUCCUCUGGGAUGAAGAGGCAACUGCAAGAGGAGAAAAAUGAAAAUCCCUGUGCUCUGACCUAAAGCUACUUAAUCGGACUGAAGAACAGCAGGACCUUGAGAAUGUCAUCUGGGUUUUCCUUCCAGCACCCUGAGCUGCUGGAAUAGGCUUAGGUCACCCGAGACCCUCAACUGGAAUGAGCGCGUUGGAAAAUGAAUGAAAGAAUACAAGUUAUUAUUUAAUAUUAGAUAUGUUCUGGGUCUUUAU